AACGAACGCUGGCGGCGUGCCUAACACAUGCAAGUCGAGCGAUCCCUGGGGGGCAACUCUUGGGGGGAGCGGCGGACGGGUGAGUAACACGUGGGUAACCUACCCAGGGGCCUGGGACAACCCUUCGAAAGGGGGGCUAAUACCGGGUACGCUCCUCCGGGCGCAAGCUGGGGGGAGGAGAGGGGCGCGGCAACGCAUUCGCCCCUGGACGGGCCCGCGGCCCAUUAGCUAGUUGGCGGGGUAACGGCCCACCAAGGCGAUGAUGGGUAG
This 270-nucleotide ribosomal RNA is filed under the name uncultured bacterium. Its description in RNAcentral is "partial 16S ribosomal RNA". It matches the Rfam family "Bacterial small subunit ribosomal RNA", at positions 28 to 286 of the family's 1533-position model. The record is from RNAcentral.